AUUGAACGCUGGCGGCAUGCUUUACACAUGCAAGUCGAACGGUAACAGGUUAAGCUGACGAGUGGCGAACGGGUGAGUAAUGCAUCGGAACGUGCCCGAUCGUGGGGGAUAACGCAGCGAAAGCUGCGCUAAUACCGCAUCCGAUCUGAGGAUGAAAGCGGGGGACCGUAAGGCCUCGCGCGAUCGGAGCGGCCGAUGUCAGAUUAGGUAGUUGGUGGGGUAAAGGCUCACCAAGCCGACGAUCUGUAGCUGGUCUGAGGGGACGACCAGCCACACUGGGACUGAGACACGGCCCAGACUCCUACGGGAGGCAGCAGUGGGGAAUUUUGGACAAUGGGCGAAAGCCUGAUCCAGCAAUGCCGCGUGCAGGAAGAAGGCCUUCGGGUUGUAAACUGCUUUUGUACGGAGCGAAAAGGCUCUCUCUAAUACAGGGGGCUCAUGACGGUACCGUAAGAAUAAGCACCGGCUAACUACGUGCCAGCAGCCGCUGUAA
This 493-nucleotide ribosomal RNA is filed under the name uncultured bacterium. Its description in RNAcentral is "partial 16S ribosomal RNA". It matches the Rfam family "Bacterial small subunit ribosomal RNA", at positions 30 to 523 of the family's 1533-position model. The record is from RNAcentral.